RNAcentral lists this ribosomal RNA (1302 nucleotides) under Triticum aestivum (bread wheat). Its description in RNAcentral is "partial small subunit ribosomal RNA". Lineage: Eukaryota; Viridiplantae; Streptophyta; Magnoliopsida; Poales; Poaceae. The record is from RNAcentral.
AUGAGUGAGCUGUUUGCAAGGUGUGUUGAUCCAAACAGCAAGAAUCCCCAAUCCAACUCCACAAAUCACACCUCAGCGAAUAAAGAUAAACAACAUUUUGAGCAAAGGGACACCAAAAGACCAAAUGAAUUUUUCAGAGAGUACUACCCAGCACCAAGUUUCGAUCUAGGCAUAGAUGAUUUGCCCACAGGAUCUGCAGACAACAGAGCACAUCAACAUGUUGGAUCAAGCACAUUUGCAGAGCAUGAGUUCAAGGAACUUCCAGUACAUACCCAGCCAAUCAUCGAUAUAAUCGAUGACGAUUAUCUGUUGGACGUUGAAGGCAUAGAUGAACCGUGUGCGCAAGCAGAAGGAAAUGCGUACCAAACACCUGAAAAAAGUUCCAACCAAGGAGAAGUGGGGUCAGGCAGCAAGGUUUACAGCAGUAGUAGCUCAGGAGAGAUGCAUCCACAUCAAUUCGAGAGAAGGAUUAUCAAGCCACCUCCUUGCAAGAGGUCACCAUUCAUUGACUAUAAUGAGAAGAAAGUCUACAUGUCCAAACCCGAAGCAAAUACAUUGUAUGCAUCGGUUAUUUUGCAUGGGAGAAUUAAUGAAGAAGAAUCACCAGAUCUUGAUACCAGCCCAAGGGUAAUUGAAUAUGGCAAAUACUUUGUCAUAGCCAGGGAGCUCGCAAACUCAAUGAAGAAGGAAGGUUUUGUCUUCAGCCAUGUAAUGGAAGUUGGUAUAGAGUCUCUAAUGAUGAACUUGCCACCAGACUCAAAGAAGCUCGUGAUGCCGCUCAGGUUCUCGGUUCAGAUGCAAAACAUGGAAUUGAACGACAAGGAGCUCAUUUCCCAGUUCAAGAAGUCGAAUCGCUUGGACCGUAAAGACAUGAUUAUGUUCCCAGUUUUAGAGAACAUUAACAAGACAAAGCCUAAAACAGGCAAUCAUUACUGGAUUUUUAACGUGAACAUAAGGGAUCGACGUUUUGAAGCUCUUGAUUCUUGGAGGACGCUCAAAAACAAGGCUCUAGAUGUUUGCGCAAGGAAAAUGGUUGCAAGUUUUCGGUCUCUAUGGGAAGAGCAUUACACCAGUUCCCGCAUCUCGCUGGAGGACUUUGGGCUUACCAACAUCGACGUUCCAAAAAAAACUGAGUUUGACUGUGGUGUUUUUGCUCUUACGCUAGCAAACGGUUGGGAGGCAAGGGUUGUUCCAAAUUUCACAGCUGGGGAUAUUCCAAGCAUCAGGAAACAAUUGACUAACACGUGGGUUGACAAUGCCAACAACACGGCUCCAUGGAAAACCAUACUCAAGUUAGCAUAG